AAUCGCCAGACUCACGGCAUUGAUGGAAUCCAUGAUAGCUGCUCAUAAUCAAUAAUAUCCACCUCCCGCAACUCCUCGCCCUCAGAGGACUGUCAUCUCAAAGAUUACUUCACCAACUGUUCCUGUGGCGGAUAGCCAGUCUGUUCCUGCCAUGCCAGCUGGAUUCGCUUGGGCAAUGCCACUAAACUUUGUCCCUGAAGGGUAUGCACCCACUUUUGUUUCUCUGUCAGCAUCUAGCCCGAUCAUGUUAGUGCCUCCUCCUAUCAUUCAUACUCUG
This 277-nucleotide long non-coding RNA is filed under the name Lathyrus oleraceus (garden pea). Its description in RNAcentral is "Pisum sativum (pea) long non-coding RNA (PSAT_LNC011619)". The record is from RNAcentral. Lineage: Eukaryota; Viridiplantae; Streptophyta; Magnoliopsida; Fabales; Fabaceae.